CAGCAGCCGCGGUAAUACGUAGGUGGCAAGCGUUGUCCGGAAUUAUUGGGCGUAAAGGGCUCGCAGGCGGUUUCUUAAGUCUGAUGUGAAAGCCCCCGGCUCAACCCGGGAGGGUCAUUGGAAACUGGGAAACUUGAGUGCAGAAGAGGAGAGUGGAAUUCCACGUGUAGCGGUGAAAUGCGUAGAGAUGUGGAGGAACACCAGUGGCGAAGGCGACUCUCUGGUCUGUAACUGACGCUGAGGAGCGAAAGCGUGGGGAGCGAACAGGAUUAGAUACCCCGGUAGUCCCUGUCUCUUAUAC
RNAcentral lists this ribosomal RNA (301 nucleotides) under uncultured bacterium. Its description in RNAcentral is "partial 16S ribosomal RNA". It matches the Rfam family "Bacterial small subunit ribosomal RNA", at positions 509 to 807 of the family's 1533-position model. The record is from RNAcentral.